AUUUACAUAGUUUAUAAAAAACACUACAUUUUCAUUGUAAAGAUAGAUCCAUCUUGUAAAUA
This 62-nucleotide transfer RNA is filed under the name Lucanus mazama (cottonwood stag beetle). RNAcentral describes it as "tRNA-Glu". Lineage: Eukaryota; Metazoa; Arthropoda; Insecta; Coleoptera; Lucanidae. The record is from RNAcentral.